Molecule: ribosomal RNA, 787 nt
Filed under: Klebsiella pneumoniae
Lineage: Bacteria; Pseudomonadati; Pseudomonadota; Gammaproteobacteria; Enterobacterales; Enterobacteriaceae
Description: bacterial SSU rRNA
Rfam family: Bacterial small subunit ribosomal RNA
Source: RNAcentral
ACUUAAAUUGAAGAGUUUGAUCAUGGCUCAGAUUGAACGCUGGCGGCAGGCCUAACACAUGCAAGUCGAGCGGUAGCACAGAGAGCUUGCUCUCGGGUGACGAGCGGCGGACGGGUGAGUAAUGUCUGGGAAACUGCCUGAUGGAGGGGGAUAACUACUGGAAACGGUAGCUAAUACCGCAUAAUGUCGCAAGACCAAAGUGGGGGACCUUCGGGCCUCAUGCCAUCAGAUGUGCCCAGAUGGGAUUAGCUAGUAGGUGGGGUAACGGCUCACCUAGGCGACGAUCCCUAGCUGGUCUGAGAGGAUGACCAGCCACACUGGAACUGAGACACGGUCCAGACUCCUACGGGAGGCAGCAGUGGGGAAUAUUGCACAAUGGGCGCAAGCCUGAUGCAGCCAUGCCGCGUGUGUGAAGAAGGCCUUCGGGUUGUAAAGCACUUUCAGCGGGGAGGAAGGCGUUAAGGUUAAUAACCUCAUCGAUUGACGUUACCCGCAGAAGAAGCACCGGCUAACUCCGUGCCAGCAGCCGCGGUAAUACGGAGGGUGCAAGCGUUAAUCGGAAUUACUGGGCGUAAAGCGCACGCAGGCGGUCUGUCAAGUCGGAUGUGAAAUCCCCGGGCUCAACCUGGGAACUGCAUUCGAAACUGGCAGGCUAGAGUCUUGUAGAGGGGGGUAGAAUUCCAGGUGUAGCGGUGAAAUGCGUAGAGAUCUGGAGGAAUACCGGUGGCGAAGGCGGCCCCCUGGACAAAGACUGACGCUCAGGUGCGAAAGCGUGGGGAGCAAACAG